CUUUUGAUUUGUUAAAACAGUUUGCGGUCUGGCAACUGCAAAUGUUCAACAAGAAAUCAAAAG
RNAcentral lists this small RNA (63 nucleotides) under Yersinia pestis S3. Its description in RNAcentral is "Hfq binding sRNA". It matches the Rfam family "STnc490 Hfq binding RNA", at positions 62 to 124 of the family's 124-position model. Lineage: Bacteria; Pseudomonadati; Pseudomonadota; Gammaproteobacteria; Enterobacterales; Yersiniaceae. RNAcentral also lists the same sequence under 1 other name. The record is from RNAcentral.